UUUAUUCUGUCCCCUGUAAAAUAU
Molecule: small RNA, 24 nt
Filed under: Arabidopsis thaliana (thale cress)
Lineage: Eukaryota; Viridiplantae; Streptophyta; Magnoliopsida; Brassicales; Brassicaceae
Description: ATSL250640
Source: RNAcentral